UGCACUCCAGCCUGGGCAACACAGUGAGACUCCGUCAAAAAAAAAAACAAAACAAACAAACAAAAAACAAAUGGCCUAAUGAACUGGGUUCCCAGGCAGGUUCCUCAAGGAGAGAUGUUGCAUCCUGGCACCCACAUCCCUGCACUUAAAAGAUCAAUGGCCUUGAUUUGUCUGAAAUUACCUCACAGAGAGGAUUUCUGUUAAUGAUUACAGAUGCUUCCCAAUACACUUUAUGGGACCUCUUCAGUGGUGUGUGUGGGGGGUCUCUGCUGUCCCUAGCACGGGAAAGAUGCUUUCACCAGAAGAUAAAUUGGCAUGAACCCUACCAGGCCUGGGGGGUAGGAGCUUCUGUAGCCUUUUCAAGUAAAAGGGAAAACCCACACUUGGAUUAGCAAAAAGGUUAAAAAAAAUUUUUUAAAUGCCUGCAUUUUCAUUAGUUCAUGUUAGGUUCCCCAUUUUCAGGGGAGAGAGAAGAUGAGUGGUCUGGUCUGACAGCCCAGAUGUGAAUUCUGGCAUUAACAUGUCUCAUCAGCUUUUUGACUUUGGAGAAGGUACUGAGCAUAUCCAAGCUGCAGCUUCCUCAUGGAGGGCAUUCCCACCUUGGGUUGUUAUUCUAAGGAUUAAAGAAGAUAAUACCGAAUGGCUGGCACAUUGUAGGUGCUCAGAGCAGGUGGCCUCUGUAGGUACUCGGUGUGGGGAUUCUCGUUUCACUGGUGGCCUCUGCAGGUACUCUGUGUGAGGAUUCUCAUUUCACUGGUGGCCUCUGUAGGUACUCGGUGUGGGGAUUCUCGUUUCACUGGAACUCUCCCUCAGCUCUGGUGGGAAAUAGAACUCAAACCAUUUUUGCAUAGCUUAGCAGGAAUUGCAUGGAGUUUUUUACAUUAUUUGAAAAUUGGAACUUGCAUUUCAUUUUUUUAAAAAUCCAAAUUCUGGGACACAAAUCCAUAAAUUUCAUAAAUGUUCAUGCCAUGCCUUGAAUUGCUCAUUUUAUCUGCAAAUGGGCUGUCUGGAUUGCCUGGUGGCUCAGUGGCGAGGCUUUUAUUCACCUACCAACUUAAAAGGCUGAGGAGGUAUUUGAGAUCUAUUUUGGCAUUCUGCACAGGAAGAUUAUUUAAAUUACAUUUUCAAGUAUGUGUGAUACCUACAUGAAGCCCAAAGCAAGAAUUCGAAAUGUGUUUUAUAUUCUUACAAAUAUAUUUUGCUUUAUUUUUCAUAUUAGAGAUGGAAAGCCUUAUUAUUUUUUAAGAACUUAAAAGUAUUGUUUACAAAGUUAUACAAAUAUAAGCUAUAAAAAAGGCUUGCUGUGACCCUGUGAACUAAAUGAAGAAAAUGAUAGAAAGAAUAUGAAAUGUGCUUCCCAUUUCAAAAUCUCAAAGAAAUGAUAACUUAUAUUUGGGGUUUCCAACUUGAAUAUUCUGUUGCAAAUAAAUAAAAGCCAUUAGUUUCAACAGAAAAAGAAAAGAAAAUGGCUUCCCUGAAAACAAUUCAAAGGAUUGCAACCCUGAAGGACAGAGACUAAUUCUAGCAUUUGUAGUACUGGGAGAGAUAAGGAAUUGAUGAAGUGUCAACAGGAAAAAAGAAAACAGAACAGUGGGAUCAUUGAACACUUUUAUUGACGGAGAUCUGCAGAGAGGUCCCCCCCGCCCCAAACUUUUAUGAGUAUUAUAAGGCAGUGGCUGAAACUGUGAUGUUCUCAGACAUCUCUAUGGAAUAUGUUCUUGGAGCAGGAAGGAGCCUCUGGAGCCUCCUCUCAUUUGGACCAUCUUCCUUUCAUACCAAAAAAUGUAGCUCAGAGGCCAGGCCAGGAUGAACUAGAACAAAAUCCCAGUCUCCUGACUCUACGUCAGCUCCCUUGCCCGUGACACCAAAUGAACUGGUCCUGUCCUUUGCUCUGGAAACCACCAAGACAAAGCUUGAUGUCUCCCUUUAGUGAUCCUCACCACCACCCUCCCAUCCCCAAAAUAAACCACGCUGUAAAAUAAAGCAAGAAAAUCUCUUCCUGUGUUCAAGCUCAUCCCCUGGCUUCACCUCCCUGCAUCUUAGCACUUGGAAGGUUGCUUCCCAGUAGCAAAGUAUCCCCGAAGGGAGUAACUUACUGAGCGCAAACAUAGUCUGAGGACUGAGACCCUCUUUGUCCAUAAUUCAUUUCAUCUCCAAGAGAAGCCCAGGAGGCAGGUAUUCUCAGCUGUCUGUCACAGAGAAAAGCUGAGGUCCAGAGGGGUUAAUAAGCCUGCGCACGCAGGUCAGGAGAGGGAAGGUCAGCAUCUCAGGACCUGCAGAGUGGAGAGCCCGGUCACCCCACCCUACCCCUCUCCUGAAUCUCACUCUGGAAAAAUGGAAGAAGCAAGUGCAUGGGAGGUUGACCUCAGCCAACUGGCUGGGAUGAUUUAAAAUAUUUUGGGUUAUGAUAAAUGUGGAGAGAGACAUCGAAACUGAUUUGUCAAGAACAUUAGAAAAUGAAGUGCUGACAUUUCCAUGCCAUUCAAAUAGGGAGUGCUAAGGCACAGGAGAGCCUUUGGCAGCAACAGCCUUUUUGCUUCUGAUCUCGGCUCAGCGCUGCUUUCUCUCUGCUGCUCACAAUGCGCUGCUUUUCUGUGAUGCAUCUGGCCAGAGCCAGGGAACACGGCACUCAACAUUCCAGAGAAGAGCCACAAGAUCGUUUUCAGGACUGCAGCGGCUGUUGAGAGACCGUCUAAUGCCACCCACCUCCUCUCCCCAAAAUUGGGCCAUUCCCAGCUAACCAGGUGGAAGACUUUGAUCUCUAUUAAGUGGGUAGGUUUUGGCAAGAACAACCUAAUCAUCCUGCUAGAGAGUGCACAGCCAAAUUGGGAUGGGAUUGCCUCACUGUGCCCAGCUUUCCCCUUGGCUCUUGGAGGGGGGGAACCUGGGAAGCUGGGAAAUCGGACUCUAAGCCCACACCUUCGUGAUUCCUCAGCGUUUAUGCACAGCUGCUGCAGCGGUGCACAAUCUUCCAUGUGGGUUCUUUCAGCUCUGUGACUUAAAUAGUCCCCUUAUGCCUCCUCUGUAAUUGUGAUGCAGUGUUUAUUCUGUUUGGGCACUGGUAAUUAGAGCAAAUUCAGAGAUUUCCUAUCCUCUGACAGGUCUCUCUGAAGAAUGCCUGAUUCUGAGUGAUUUGUCAAUAUGAGGACAUAAGAUACAGCAAGUAUAUCAUUUCUACCCAUCUAGCAUCAAUAUCUAGGUUAACGCAAGUCACAUCACACAAACAUGUUCUGUGAUGGCUUUUUAUUCCUGCUGCUGGGAGAAUGAGACCUUUUUCAUGUUUCCAAGAGAUGCUGUCAUAUACAUUAUCCAUACAUAUUAGGUAUAUGUGUAUCACACACACAGAGUUCCAAAGCAGGACCCCAGGUUGUGUGGGCUGAUGAGCAAUUAAGUGUAUAUUUGAACAGUCUGAAUGCCGAUGAACUGUGAACCCCUCAAAGGCUGGGCCCUAAUUCCUUUGACUCUCAUAUCCCCUCAUUGCCUGGCACAGUAUCCAUCACUUCGGUGAAGUGUGGCAGAAAUCUUCUAAAUGUGCGAAUGAAUGAUGGGCAUGUGUGCUUGGCAGUCACACAAGUUGGAUUGCCUGCACCCAUAUUCUGGCCUGAACAUUUUUAGCUGUAUGAAUGUGGUCACUGUAUUUACAAACCAUAUAAUAGAAGUCCAUAAACUAUGGUCUGUGGCCCAAAUCUGGCUACCACCUGUUUUUGUAAAUAAAGGUUUAUUGGAACACAAGUAUGCCGUUCAUACAGAUUGUCUGUGGGUGCUUUCAGGAUACAAUGGCAGAGUUGAAUCAUUGUGACAUAGACUGGCUCUCAAUAUGUAUUUACUAUUUGGCCCUCUGCAGAAAAGUUUGCUGACCUCUGCCAUAUAGGAACUGACCCGAGACCUAGCAAUAAACACAGAUGUCCAUGAAACUAAGUUCUUACCUCUUAAGUAUGUGUAUGUGCACAUGACCUUUCAUUACUUGUUGGCUUUUUUUUUUUUUGGUAAAGUUAAGGAAACCUUGAUACAGGAUACCACGCUUCGUUUGUAUUAACUCUUUCCAUCCCUCAGAUCUUUCUUCCUUGCUCCCUUGUCUUAAACAUCACUGUGAACGGCACCCUCACAAAGCCCCCGAACUCAGGGGGUUCCUUUAGCUUCUUUUUUUUUUUUUUUUACCACUGUGUGCCUGAGACUCGGGAGAGCUGGGCCUCACACCAAGAAACCACCCUUUCUCAAUGAGGAUGAACAGGACCCCUACUGUCAGGGAACUGACCCCACGAUGGGGUGGCAGGGAUGAUGGGAGGUGGUAAAUGACUGGGUUUCCACCCUUCCUGCAAGGUACUAGACUCUUUGGGUUGGUGUGUUACUUAGGAUUUUCUUUUCUUAAUCAUCCUCUUCCCAUUGCUCUGAAUUAGUAAAGUCACAAAGCCUGAAGCCUCAGGGUCUCAUCACUACCUGCUCAUCAUGUUUAAGGGCCUGGGUCCUCUUGCUCUCUCCCGCUACCCCAAGCCUGCAGAUAACACCCAGCAAAUGCUGAGGGAGUCCUGGCCCGUAGAAGAAUCUGCUUCACUCUGGGCAGUGACAGAUCCUGAUCAUGUGCUUGAUAUCCUCAAAUAAAUCUUCUCACGAUCAUUUCUGGUCUCUCCAAAUAGCAGAGUAUCACUAGGCUGUCACCAGCCAAUGGACACUUCAAGACACUAAAUGUUUGGCGUAGGAAACCUAAGAGGCAAAGAGUGCUGUCAAGGUUGCCACACCGUAGUUGCUGGUGAGUUUACCCAACGAGCCACCAAGACCUACACCCCACUUGUCUGAGGAUCUCCUGCCCAGGAAUCCCAUAGCUGCUACAGGGAAUUCCUAUUGUUCUAAUAAUUGAUUGGGUUUUUAAAAUUCACUGCCCCAUUUGCCUUGUUCUUAGCCUUCAAUGACUCCCAUUAGUGACUUAUUUUGGUAGCCUGUGUGACCCUGAACUUCCCCGGAAGACACAAGCAUAAUACUAAGAGCUCUGAAAUAAGCAGGAUAAUUCUUGGCAUUCAUGCAAGCCCGCACUGCAUAAAGCAGAGUGAUUUUAGUGAAUUGCCCCAGUGUUUUUACAAGGGACUAAAAGGCAUGAUUUUGCAUACUUUUUGCACAUCUAACCUACUUGCAGAAUUCAUCCCACUGAAAUGCUCGUAAAGGAUAUGUCCUUUAUUCUGCGCCCACUGUGUGCUGGCUGUAGAUGGGAGCUUUGUAGAUACUGUAUUUCACCACCCCUAGUUGAUUUCAGACAAAACUGAAGCUCACAGAGGUUAACCUGUCUCAGCCAUAAACAUUCUUUGCCGAAGCCUUUUGGAAAUCUACAUAA
Non-coding RNA from Chlorocebus sabaeus (green monkey), 5323 nucleotides. NCBI's taxonomy places the organism in Eukaryota, Metazoa, Chordata, Mammalia, Primates, Cercopithecidae. The record is from RefSeq and is a predicted model, not a curated record.